This 79-nucleotide non-coding RNA is filed under the name Priestia megaterium. RNAcentral's name for it is "Bacillus megaterium ZTP sequence". It matches the Rfam family "ZMP/ZTP riboswitch aptamer (pfl RNA motif)". From Rfam's summary of the family: Previously known as pfl RNA. ZMP is also known as AICAR. RNAcentral also lists the same sequence under 1 other name. Lineage: Bacteria; Bacillati; Bacillota; Bacilli; Caryophanales; Bacillaceae. The record is from RNAcentral.
CAGACUAUGUGUUACUGGCGUAAACAUGGAGAACCAUGAGGAAGCACAUAGGUAACGGCCGUACGCCUGGGCAGAGUAU